AGUGGCGAACGGGUGAGUAAAGUAUCGGAACGUGCCCAGUCGUGGGGGAUAACGUAGCGAAAGUUACGCUAAUACCGCAUACGAUCUAUGGAUGAAAGCGGGGGAUCGCAAGACCUCGCGCGAUUGGAGCGGCCGAUAUCAAAUUAGGUAGUUGGUGGGGUAAAGGCUCACCAAGCCGACGAUCUGUAGCUGGUCUGAGAGGACGACCAGCCACACUGGGACUGAGACACGGCCCACACUCCUACGGGAGGCAGCAGUGGGGAAUUUUGGACAAUGGGCGCAAGCCUGAUCCAGCCAUGCCGCGUGCAGGAUGAAGGCCUUCGGGUUGUAAACUGCUUUUGUACGGAACGAAAAGGUUUGGCCUAAUAAGCUGAGCUCAUGACGGUACCGUAAGAAUAAGCACCGGCUAACUACGUGCCAGCAGCCGCGGUAAUACGUAGGGUGCGAGCGUUAAUCGGAAUUACUGGGCGUAAAGCGUGCGCAGGCGGUUAUGUAAGACAGAUGUGAAAUCCCCGGGCUCAACCUGGGAACUGCAUUAGUGACUGCAUAGCUGGAGUACGGCAGAAGGGGGGAUGGAAAUUCCGCGUGUAGCAGUGAAAUGCGUAGAUAUGCGGAAGGAACCACCGGAUGGGCGAAGGCUAUCCCCUGCGCCCUGUACUGACGCUCAUGCACGAAAGCGUGGG
RNAcentral lists this ribosomal RNA (683 nucleotides) under uncultured Curvibacter sp. RNAcentral's name for it is "bacterial SSU rRNA". It matches the Rfam family "Bacterial small subunit ribosomal RNA", at positions 94 to 765 of the family's 1533-position model. The record is from RNAcentral. Lineage: Bacteria; Pseudomonadati; Pseudomonadota; Betaproteobacteria; Burkholderiales; Comamonadaceae.